Molecule: non-coding RNA, 640 nt
Organism: Camellia sinensis
Lineage: Eukaryota; Viridiplantae; Streptophyta; Magnoliopsida; Ericales; Theaceae
Source: RefSeq, a predicted model, not a curated record
UGAAGGUUAAUUCUUGAAGAUUCGAAGGUUGAUUCUCCAGAUUUGCAGUUUCUCUCACUCUCGCUCUCGCUCGAAUUCUCUCUGUCGUAGUCUCGCUCUCGCUCUUGCUCGAAUUCUCUCUCUCACUCUCUGUACUCAUCUCUUCAUCAGAUUCGAAGGUUAAUUCUUGAAGAUUCGAAGGUUGAUUCUCCAGAUUUGCAGUUGUCUCUUUCGAUUUUAUCUCAUCGUUCAUCAAUUGGUCGAUUAAUCUACAUGAAACCUGUUUGAGAUUUGGCUUCUCAAAUCUGAUGAUGCAGAUGCUACAGCGGACACCUCAAACCAGGAAAUGCACAGUACUGCACCUUUUCUCAGAAUUAGCAUUGGAGAAGGAAGAGUUGAUGCAAGCAUUGCUUGCUGAAUCAUCUGAAAGUUCCACGCUGAAGUGAAAUGAAAUCUUAGAUGUCAAUAUUGGUGCUAAUCGGCAUACACUUGCAAAUUCUGAACACCUUGGAGACAAGCCGACAACUCAGGUGGAAGUUUGGGUUGAUGUGACCAGUUGUGAGAAACAGCUUUUGGAACUGCUUGAUGUAGUGAAUUGCUAUUUAGAGUAUUGUGUAUUGUUGUUAGAUUUGCUACUAGUUGUUAAUUUGUAUUGAUGCUU